RNAcentral lists this ribosomal RNA (292 nucleotides) under uncultured bacterium. RNAcentral's name for it is "partial 16S ribosomal RNA". It matches the Rfam family "Bacterial small subunit ribosomal RNA", at positions 335 to 642 of the family's 1533-position model. The record is from RNAcentral.
UGCCUACGGGGCGCAGCAGUGGGGAAUAUUGGGCAAUGGGCGCAAGCCUGACCCAGCAACGCCGCGUGAAGGAAGAAGGCUUUCGGGUUGUAAACUUCUUUUCUCAGGGACGAAGAAAGUGACGGUACCUGAGGAAUAAGCCACGGCUAACUACGUGCCAGCAGCCGCGGUAAUACGUAGGUGGCAAGCGUUAUCCGGAUUUACUGGGUGUAAAGGGCGUGUAGGCGGGACUGCAAGUCAGAUGUGAAAACCACGGGCUCAACCUGUGGCCUGCAUUUGAAACUGUAGUUCU